CGGCAACGGAUAUCUCGGCUCUCGCAUCGAUGAAGAACGUAGCGAAAUGCGAUACUUGGUGUGAAUUGCAGAAUCCCGUGAACCAUCGAGUCUUUGAACGCAAGUUGCGCCCGAAGCCACUAGGCCGAGGGCACGCCUGCCUGGGCGUCACACGCCGUUGCCCC
This 164-nucleotide ribosomal RNA is filed under the name Vauquelinia corymbosa. RNAcentral's name for it is "5.8S ribosomal RNA". It matches the Rfam family "5.8S ribosomal RNA". From Rfam's summary of the family: 5.8S ribosomal RNA (5.8S rRNA) is a component of the large subunit of the eukaryotic ribosome. It is transcribed by RNA polymerase I as part of the 45S precursor that also contains 18S and 28S rRNA. Functionally, it is thought that 5.8S rRNA may be involved in ribosome translocation. RNAcentral also lists the same sequence under 2 other names. Lineage: Eukaryota; Viridiplantae; Streptophyta; Magnoliopsida; Rosales; Rosaceae. The record is from RNAcentral.